This 214-nucleotide long non-coding RNA is filed under the name Carica papaya (papaya). RNAcentral's name for it is "long non-coding RNA (CPAP_LNC007307)". The record is from RNAcentral. Lineage: Eukaryota; Viridiplantae; Streptophyta; Magnoliopsida; Brassicales; Caricaceae.
ACAUAUUCCGUUAAUUAUGAAUUUUAAUUGCGUUGUUUGUAACAAACUGAGACGAGUUAAUAAAUAGCUCGCUUUAGUGUCUAUCUAAUAUCAAUCUGACAAUUGAUACUAUUUGAGAUUCACAAGAUGAAAGUAGUAAUCUCUCUACUCCAACUCACCAAUUUACAAUUCAGUGUUUCAUUCAUAUCUUUAUUAUUACAAGUAUAUUGAAGGA